AGUGAACGCUGGCGGUAGGCCAACACAUGCAAGUCGAACGGCAGCACCGUAAGAGCUUGCUCUUACGGGUGGCGAGUGGCGGACGGGUGAGGAAUACAUCGGAAUCUACUUUUUCGUGGGGGAUAACGUAGGGAAACUUACGCUAAUACCGCAUACGACCUACGGGUGAAAGCAGGGGAUCUUCGGACCUUGCGCGAUUGAAUGAGCCGAUGUCGGAUUAGCUAGUUGGCGGGGUAAAGGCCCACCAAGGCGACGAUCCGUAGCUGGUCUGAGAGGAUGAUCAGCCACACUGGAACUGAGACACGGUCCAGACUCCUACGGGAGGCAGCAGUGGGGAAUAUUGGACAAUGGGCGCAAGCCUGAUCCAGCCAUACCGCGUGGGUGAAGAAGGCCUUCGGGUUGUAAAGCCCUUUUGUUGGGAAAGAAAAGCAGCAGGUUAAUACCCCGCUGUUCUGACGGUACCCAAAGAAUAAGCACCGGCUAACUUCGUG
RNAcentral lists this ribosomal RNA (491 nucleotides) under uncultured bacterium. Its description in RNAcentral is "partial 16S ribosomal RNA". It matches the Rfam family "Bacterial small subunit ribosomal RNA", at positions 29 to 507 of the family's 1533-position model. The record is from RNAcentral.